CCCUUAGAUGUCCUGGGCUGCACGCGUGCUACAAUGAUACGUGCAACGAGUUAAUCCUGCUCUGAAAGGAGUGGGUAAUCUUAUGAAUGCGUAUCGUGCUUGGGAUUGACCAUUGUAAUUAUUGGUCAUGAACGAGGAAUUCCUAGUAAGCACAAGUCAUCAGCUUGUGCUGAUUACGUCCCUGCCCUUUGUACACACCGCCCGUCGCUCCUACCGAUUGAGUGGUCCGGUGAGGCUUUGGGAUCUGAGCGGAAAGAGCGUUUCGCUGUUUCUGCUCGGAAAACUCAGUCGAACCUUAUCAUUUAGAGGAAGGAGAAGUCGUAACA
This 326-nucleotide ribosomal RNA is filed under the name uncultured eukaryote. RNAcentral describes it as "partial 18S ribosomal RNA". It matches the Rfam family "Eukaryotic small subunit ribosomal RNA", at positions 1470 to 1796 of the family's 1831-position model. The record is from RNAcentral.